RNAcentral lists this long non-coding RNA (210 nucleotides) under Carica papaya (papaya). Its description in RNAcentral is "long non-coding RNA (CPAP_LNC002501)". The record is from RNAcentral. Lineage: Eukaryota; Viridiplantae; Streptophyta; Magnoliopsida; Brassicales; Caricaceae.
AGUUUAUCUUUUAAAAAAUGAUAAUCAAUUUGAAGAUGAAUUGUCACUCUUAGCUAAUCCUUGAGUAAACAUGGAGUUUUUUGCCCUUGUUCACACAUUAUAAACAUAAAUCACCAGACAAGAAACACUUUGAGCAAUUAGCCAUAAAGAUUGUAGCAUCACAAGAUCCCUUGCCUCGUUGUAAUCAAGACUUCUAUAAAAGACACUUGG